Molecule: ribosomal RNA, 485 nt
Filed under: uncultured bacterium
Lineage: Bacteria
Description: partial 16S ribosomal RNA
Rfam family: Bacterial small subunit ribosomal RNA
Source: RNAcentral
GACGAACGCUGGCGGCGUGCUUAACACAUGCAAGUCGAACGGUGAAGGUGGAGCUUGCUCCGCCGGAUCAGUGGCGAACGGGUGAGUAACACGUGGGCAACCUGCCCCUCACUUCGGGAUAACUCCGGGAAACCGGGGCUAAUACCGGAUACGACCUCCUUGGGCAUCCUUGGAGGUGGAAAGUUUUUCGGUGAGGGAUGGGCCCGCGGCCUAUCUGCUUGUUGGUGAGGUAGUGGCUCACCAAGGCGACGACGGGUAGCCGGCCUGAGAGGGCGACCGGCAACACUGGGACUGAGACACGGCCCAGACUCCUACGGGAGGCAGCAGUGGGGAAUAUUGCGCAAUGGGCGAAAGCCUGACGCAGCAACGCCGCGUGCGGGAUGAAGGCCUUCGGGUUGUAAACCGCUUUCAGCAGGGAAGAAGCCGCAAGGUGACGGUACCUGCAGAAGAAGCACCGGCUAACUACGUGCCAGCCGCCGCAGUAA